Molecule: long non-coding RNA, 348 nt
Organism: Vidua chalybeata
Lineage: Eukaryota; Metazoa; Chordata; Aves; Passeriformes; Viduidae
Exons: 2
Source: RefSeq, a predicted model, not a curated record
CUCUCCUGCACGGGGGAAAUGUGUGUCCAGGGGUGCUGAGGGGUGCAGAGCCAGGCCCAAAGCCCUCAGGGGGCUGAAGGUACAGACAGGUGCCCACUGGCCACCCUUGGCUGUGUCCUCCACACCCUGGUCAGCCCAAAUGCCAUGGGGAAGGUGAAAGCAGAGAUUUACAUCCAAUUCACUGAUCCAGCCUGCCUGGGAGCGAGGAUUGGGAACUUCCAGCCCUGGGUGACUGAACAAACACAGCAUCAACCACCAGGAACGAUUUGCAAACAACUGAGCAGCAGACAAAUGUGCAAAUGUACUACUUCUGGAUAAUGAAUGCAUAAUCUAUUCCGACUCCCCUUC